RNAcentral lists this ribosomal RNA (829 nucleotides) under Inocybe geophylla. RNAcentral describes it as "partial large subunit ribosomal RNA". It matches the Rfam family "Eukaryotic large subunit ribosomal RNA", at positions 95 to 907 of the family's 3401-position model. Lineage: Eukaryota; Fungi; Basidiomycota; Agaricomycetes; Agaricales; Inocybaceae. The record is from RNAcentral.
GAAGCGGGAAAAGCUCAAAUUUGAAAUCUGGCAGCUCUUGAACUGUCCGAGUUGUAAUCUAGAGAAGUGUUACCUGUGCUGGACCGUGUACAAGUCUCCUGGAAUGGAGCAUCACAGAGGGUGAGAAUCCCGUCUUUGACACGGACUGCCUGCACGUUAUGGUGCGCUCUCAAAGAGUCGAGUUGUUUGGGAAUGCAGCUCAAAAUGGGUGGUAAAUGCCAUCUAAAGCUAAAUAUUGGCGAGAGACCGAUAGCGAACAAGUACCGUGAGGGAAAGAUGAAAAGAACUUUGGAAAGAGAGUUAAACAGUACGUGAAAUUGCUGAAAGGGAAACGCUUGAAGUCAGUCGCGUCGGCUGGAAAUCAACCUGCUUUUGCUUGGUGUACUUUCUGGUUGAUGGGUCAGCAUCAAUUUUGACCGUUGGAUAAAGUCUUUGGGAAUGUGGCAUCUUAGGAUGUGUUAUAGCCCAUUGUCGCAUACAGCGGUUGGGAUUGAGGAACUCAGCACGCCCGCAAGGGACGGGUUUCGACCACGUUUUCGUGCUUAGGAUGCUGGCAUAAUGGCUUUAAUCGACCCGUCUUGAAACACGGACCAAGGAGUCUAACAUGCCUGCGAGUGUUUGGGUGGAAAACCCAUGCGCGCAAUGAAAGUGAAAGUUGAGAUCCCCUCUCAGGGGAGCAUUGACGCCCGGACCAGACCUUCUGUGACGGAUCCGCGGUAGAGCAUGUAUGUUGGGACCCGAAAGAUGGUGAACUAUGCCUGAAUAGGGUGAAGCCAGAGGAAACUCUGGUGGAGGCUCGUAGCGAUUCUGACGUGCAAAUCGAUCGUCA